GCCGGGCGCAGUGGUGCACGCCUGUAGUCCCAGCUACUCGGGAGGCUGAGACAGGAGGAUCCCUUGAGUCCAGGAGUUCUGGGCUGUAGUGCGCUAUGCCGAUCGGGUGUCUGCACUAAGUUCGGCAUCAAUAUGGUGACCUCCCGGGAGGGGGGGACCACCAGGUUGCCUAAGGAGGGGUGAACCGGCCCAGGUGGGAAACGAGAAGAAUCUGUGGUUUCAAGCGUUCCCUGUGGUCUUGGACAUACUCCCCAGGGAUAAGGAGGCACUGCUGUUCAAGGAAGGGGCAGCCCGUUUCC
RNAcentral lists this signal recognition particle RNA (299 nucleotides) under Microtus ochrogaster (prairie vole). RNAcentral's name for it is "Metazoan signal recognition particle RNA (ENSMOCG00000012065.1)". It matches the Rfam family "Metazoan signal recognition particle RNA". From Rfam's summary of the family: The signal recognition particle (SRP) is a universally conserved ribonucleoprotein. It is involved in the co-translational targeting of proteins to membranes. The record is from RNAcentral. Lineage: Eukaryota; Metazoa; Chordata; Mammalia; Rodentia; Cricetidae.